This 42883-nucleotide long non-coding RNA is filed under the name Prunus persica (peach). RNAcentral describes it as "long non-coding RNA (PPER_LNC005707)". Lineage: Eukaryota; Viridiplantae; Streptophyta; Magnoliopsida; Rosales; Rosaceae. The record is from RNAcentral.
UCCUGGAAACAGCAAGGUUGCAACAUUAGUCAAUCAAGUGGCUCUUCUACAAAGAAAAUUUGAAUAUUGCAGCCCUUCUCUUGUAGCACAUACUGACAUUAAGUUUGCACUUAAAGUUGCAAGAGAGGCUAUAGUUUCUCAGAUCACCUGGCGUGCAGACUCUAGCAAUGGAAAGAGUUUGAAGGAGACUUGUGUAAUUUGCUUUGAAGAAACUGAUGUUGCAGAAAUUUUUUCAAUCGAUGGCUGUCUACACAGGUAUUGCUGUUCUUGUAUGAAACAGCAUGUGGAAGUAAAGUUUCUUAAUGGGAUGGGGGCAGAGUGCCCUCAUGAAGGCUGUAAAAAUGAGGUGAAUAUUGAUAGCUGUGCAGAAUUCUUGGCACCUAAACUAGUUGAGGCCAUAAGCCAAAGAAUCAAGGAAUUUUCUAUUCCGGUUACAGACAAAGUUUAUUGCCCAAAUCCCAGGUGUUCUGCAUUAAUGUCUAAAAAGGAGGUCUUAGAAUAUACCAAAACUACUUUUGUCCAUGCUGAGCAAACUGGAGCCAGGAGAUGCAUGAAAUGUCAUUACUAUUUUUGUAUCAAUUGCAAGGUCCCUUGGCACUUCAAUAUGACCUGCUAUGAUUAUAAAAGAUCACAUCCCUAUCCCCACCCAGAAGACCAAUUGCUCAACUCGCUGGCUACAAAGAAACUCUGGCGUCAGUGCGUAAAGUGCAGCCAUAUGGUUGAACUUGCCGAAGGUUGUUAUCACAUAACUUGCAGGUAUUACUCCCCACUCCUCCAUCCUAUUUGACUUGUCUUUUGGUCAUUGUUCUGUUGAUUUUGUCAUCUUUAGAUCAAAUUAGCAAUUUUUUGAGAGGGAUGAAACUAGCAAAAGAUAAAACAAAAUAUACAGCUAGUGAACUCAAAUAUGAUCUAAUUGGUAGCAAGUUGAGUACAAGAGUGGAUAUGGCUAAGUAUAGUGUUGGGUCUCAAGUUCCUCUGAGUUCUUUUGAUUGAAAACCACAUUGCCAAUGGGCCAUCAAACCACCAAAAGAGUCAAUCUUUGCAUGCUGAUCUAUUUGGCAUUCUCUUUUAUGCUUUUGUUAGCAAACAUUGGAUGAGAUCCUAGUAAUCUAUAAAUAGAUAUCAUGGUAGGGCCUUACACUGCCCCCUCAGAUAGUUAUGGUAUUGGUGUAUUGCCUUUACUAGUUGCAGACCACCUUUUCUAUUCUUUUACCCACAAAAAGAACUAGUUUUGAUUGUUCUUUUCUGGGUGCUGCUAUUUUUUUUCUGUAUACCAAUCCUUGUGGUUUGUCUAUAUGCUUGCACUGUCUUUGUAGAUGUGGUUAUGAGUUUUGUUAUACUUGUGGAGCUGAGUGGAAGAACAAGAAAGCAACAUGUUCCUGCCGAAUCUGGGAUGAGCGUAACAUUAUACGCGAACAGCCACAACAAGCACAGCCCAUUAUACGCGAACAGCCAUGACAGGCACAGCCCAUUAUACGCGAACAGCCACGACAGGCACAGCCCAUUAUACGCGAACAGUCACGACAAGUACGACGAUGACAAUGAUCGGGAUUACCAAGACUCUUGUUAGACUACAACUAAAGAUUUAGGCUAUUAGUGUGAUCUUUUGCGUUUUGCUUUCCUUUGUUUUCUUUGUUAUGAAAAAAAAGGUGAAGGGUGUUUAAGGACCACAAUGUCAGAUGCUAAGCUAAAAUAUUGCCCAGCUUUUUGUUAACUUUUGGCACAUUAGUUUUGCAUUCCUCUUAUAUUUUUCAAGGGUAUCCCCCUUGACACCAUGUGGGACGCUUAGGGGUGGGCACAGAUUGAGUUGGGUCGGUUUUGAUCCUAAUUUGUAACUCAAUUCAUACUUAGCGGUUUAUAAUUUUAGGUUUAAGACCCGUUUAUUAUUAGGUCAACCUAACCCCACCAACCCUACCCAACUCAAUCAUAUUUGGAUUCAAGACCCGCUCCUUAAAAAAGAGAGGAUACAUGUUAGUUUGUGGUUGAACCAGAAUAAAAGGUAUGGAGGAGUUCUUCCUUACAGGCAAGGAGGGAAAUAUUGUCCAUGUUUUAUUAUCAUUCUUAGAAGACUAAUGUAUCUGAAACAAAAGCGCGUCAAACGAGGGGGGGAAAAAUGAUAUUUUGAUUUUUAGUUAGGAAGCAGAAUGAAAAGCCAUCAGAUUUCAUCGUGGCCAUAGUUCCAUAGAAAUAAAAUGGGAUCUUUGAGGGGGUUUUGAUUUCGGAGGAGUUAGUACUUCUUCUUUUUCUUUUUCCAGUUAGUUGAUGAAGUGUUAGUUCUCUAACCCUUGUAUUGUAUUUUAUUGAUGUGGCAAUCUUAUAUUAAAUGUGAAGGAGAUUCUAGCAGAGAAAAUAUAGCAGAUGAUCCAGAUCCUCGAGUCACCCUAAGUUUUAAAUUGAUGGAAUUUUUAGCUGAAACCUAUUUUUUAAAUAUUCUUUCUUCUCAAUGAAAGAGACGUAGCUCAACCACACAGACAAGCUAAAUUUUGUCACUAACACAACAAUCAAAAUUGCAAAAGGAUCCCAAACUACAUUCCAGUAUCUCGGCCAAAGGAUUAAUAAAUACGAAGAAUAUUCAAAAAUCAGGGAAACAUUUCUUUCAAUAAGAAAGCCAUCUGUACCAAUAUGCAGCAUUUCAGAAAAUAACCAGUUACUUGGCAGUCAUAUUUCACUCCACCAAUCUCGAAAACUCCAUCAACAAAGCCCACUUUUACUCCACCGUUUGUAUCAGUGGUUAGGUACGUGAAAUUUGCAUUGGCAUAAAAAAGAAAAAUAUAACAACAAUGUCCAGGGUCUCACCUGAAUAGCAAGUUCCAGUGUUGGGCAAAUGACAACAACGCCCGUUCCCUCACGAGGAGUAAACUGUGUCCUAUAUAGCAACUCCAGCUGGUAUUAGAAAAACAAGAGUUUUCCUGCAUCCUGUCCUUGCAGCUCCGAUGACAUCAUUUCCGUUCAAUAGUGGUGGGAUUGCUUUGUCUUCUUUCGUGUAUUUAGCGGUAAACCAGGCGUUGCUACUUAAUGUUAAUGAAUCUUCAUUGGGAGUACAAAGAAAAAAGAAAUCAUAUGCCCUUCUUUCUGCACUCUUGUUCUAGGAUGCAUUCCGUCAAGCAUGAUGGGAUGAAGUGUUAAGAUAUUUAGUCGUUUGUUUUUCAAUAAAUUCCUAUUUGUUAGGAAGUCUGUUGCUUUUACCUAUUCCUUAGGAGAAUCCCAGAAUAUUAGGAGUUGUUAGUCGUGGGAUUAGAGGCUACUUUAUUUUCUAGCUUUCUGUUAUUUGCCUUUGUAUUUAAUUAGACUUCAAGUCAAUGAAUUGAAAUCGCAUUCCUUUUACUCAUUCUGCAGCAAACUCAGCUUUUAGUUUUACAACAUUUGGUAUCAGAGCCCCCCACUGGGGUCUGAUUUGGAAAAGCAGCAGCUUUCAGUCUUGCCGCAGCAAGAUAUUCAAUGGCUUCUGAAAGCAGCUUUGUGCAACCUGCGAUUCCACGUUUCGAUGGUCACUAUGAUCAUUGGAGUAUGUUGAUGGAAAAUUUUCUGCGAUUCAUGGAGUACUGGACUCUCGUGGAAACCGGCAUCGAUGUGCACACUAGUGAGACUGUUUUGACAGAAGCGCAGAGAAAGACAUUGGAGGAUCAGAGAUUGAAGGAUUUGAAGACAAAGAAUUAUUUGUUUCAAGCAAUAGAUCGUGCCAUUCUCGAAACCAUCCUGAAGAAGGACACUGCUAAAGACAUAUGGGAUUCAAUGAAGACGAAGUACCAAGGCACUGCACGGGUGAAACGUGCACAACUCCAAGCUCUUCGCAAAGAGUCUGAAAUUCUUCACAUGAAGGAAGGAGAGUCAGUGAAUGACUACUUUGCAAGAACACUGUCAAUUGCAAACAAGAUGCGCAUCCAUGGAGAAAAUUUUAAAGAUAUUGCUGUCAUUGAGAAAAUCCUUCGCUCAAUGACACGCAAAUUUGACUAUGUGGUGUGUUCCAUUGAAGAAUCGAAUGACAUUGAUAGUCUUUCGAUUGAUGUGCUGCAAAGCUCACUGUUAGUUCAUGAGCAGAGGAUGACCAGCUAUGUUGUGGAGGAGCCAGCCUUGAAGGUCAGUACUUAUGAAGGAAUUACUUCUUCAAGAAGAGGUAGAGGACGGGGAGGAUUUUGUGGAAGCGGCAGAGGUAGAGGACGCCAACUUUCUUACAAUCAAGGAGCACAAUUUGACAAGGCGAGUGUGGAAUGUUAUUACUGUCACAAGCUUGGCCACUAUCAGUAUGAAUGCCCUGACAAGGAAACCAAGGUAAAUUUCGCUGAGACUGAAGGAGAAAUACUCUUCAUGGCUCACAUCGACAAGAAGGAGUUUUCAUCAGGUGAUACUUCUUGGUAUUUAGAUUCGGGUUGCAGCAAUCACAUGUGUUGAAACAAGUCCUUAUUUUAUGAUUUGGAUGAAACAUUCAGAGAAACUGUAAAGCUUGGGAACAACUCUUGCAUUUCUGUCAUAGGAAAAGGGGAUAUCAAAUUCCAUAUGAAAAACAACACUGUGCAGACAAUUUCACAUUCAGUAUGAUUCAUCAUCCAGAGAAGGGCCUCAUUGCAGAAGCAAAAAUGACAACAAAUCGAAUGUUCCCUUUGCACAUUCAGUAUGAUGCCCAGAAGUGUCUCUCAACAAGAGUGCAAGAUCCAACAUGGUUGUGGCAUCUUCGUUAUGGUCAUUUGAGCUUCAAAGGCCUGAAAACUCUACAUGAGAAGAACAUGAUGGAAGGACUGCCUAAGAUUAACUGUCCCACAGAAAUGUGUGAAGAUUGCAUUGUUGGUAAACAACAUCGAGAUUCUUUCCCACAAGGAAAAGCAUGGAGAGCUGAGCAAAUCCUACAGUUGGUUCAUUCAGACAUCUGUGGUCCAAUCAAUCCAACAUCGAAUGGAAACAAAAGGUAUUUCAUCACCUUCAUUGAUGAUUAUAGUCGAAAAACAUGGAUUUAUUUCUUGCAAGAGAAAUCUGAAGCUUUUGUUGUUUUUAAAAGCUUUAAGGCUCGAGUUGAAAAAGAAUCUGGCAAGUACAUUCAGAUCCUUCGCACAGAUAGUGGUGGUGAAUUUAACUCACAUAACUUUGCAAGUUUUUGUGAAUUGCAUGGAAUACGGUGGCAACUUAUUGCUGCAUACACACCACAGCAAAACGGCGUGGCAGAAAGAAAGAAUCAGAUGAUUAUGAACAUGGUAUGAAGCAUGUUGGUAAAAAAAGGCAUUCCAAAGACUUUCUGGCCAGAAGCAGUCAAUUGGAGUGUUCAUGUGCUCAACCGAAGCCCUACCCUUGCUGUAAAAAAAACAUAACACCACAAGAAGCUUGGAGUGAAGUCAGGCCAUCAGUUGAUCACUUCAGAAUUUUCUGGUGUAUAGCGUAUGCGCAUGUUCCAAAUGAAAAGAGAACAAAGCUUGAUGAUAAAAGUGUGAAGUGUGUCUUUAUUGGGGUUAGUGAAGAAUCCAAAGCGUACAGGUGAUAUAAUCCCAUUACCAAGAAAAUAAUAAUCAGUCGAGAUGUUCUGUUUGAUGAAGAAAACACAUGGGAUUGGAGCAGCACCGAACAACAGUAAAUUUUAAUUGAUCUUGAGGAAGCUGGCGGGGAAAUUACACAGCCACUGCAACCUCCUCUUGAAAGUCAGGGGUCUGAAUCACAAUUGCAACUUCCUUGUCAGUCCCUUGCAGAAGCUUUACCAAGUUCUUCAGCAAGAGUUUCAAUUCCAAAUGAAGUUCAGGCACCUAGCUCAGAACCACAGCGACAAAGAAAAAGACCAUCUUGGAUGAUAGAUUAUGUUAGUGGAGAUGAAUUAUCUAAUGAGGAUACAACUGCUUAUUUCGCUCUAUUUGCAGGCUCCGAUCCUAUAUUGUUUGCAGAAGCAGUGAAAGAAGAAAAGUGGAAAAAAGCCAUGGAUGCAGAGAUUCAAGCUAUAGAGAAAAAUGAGACUUGGGAGCGAACCAAUCUUCUUGAAGGGCAAAAAACCAUUGGUGUAAAGUGGGUUUAUAAGACGAAGCUGAAUGGAAAGGGAGAAAUUGACAAGUUCAAAGCAAGGCUGGUUGUGAAAGGCUACAAUCAAGAACAUGGAGUUGAUUAUCAAGAGAUUUUUGCUCCUGUCGCAAGACAGGAUACAAUUCGGUUGGUAGUCUCAUUCGCGGCACAAAACUCAUGGCCCAUCUUCCAGCUUGAUGUGAAAUCGGCCUUCCUUAAUGGUAAACUACUUGAGCAAGUCUACAUUGAGGAGCCACCUGGUUAUGUGAUAAAAGGUAAUGAACAUAAGGUUUACAGAUUAAAGAAUGCUUUAUAUGGCCUGAAACAGGCACCUCGAGCCUGGUACAGUUGUAUAGAAGCAUACUUUGAAAAGGCAGGUUUUAACAAAUGUCCAUAUGAGCACACCCUAUUCAUCAAGUCUGGAGCAGAAGGUAAAAUCCUGAUAGUUUGCUUAUAUGUUGAUGAUCUUAUUUUUACGGGCAAUGAUGAGGCUAUGUUUGUUGAUUUUAAGAAUUCUAUGAUGGCUGAUUUUGACAUAACUGAUUUGGGAAAGAUGAAAUAUUAUCUUGGUAUAGAAGUAGUACAAACAGCUACUGGAUAUUUUAUUGGGCAAAAGAAAUAUGCUCAGGAGGUGUUCGAGAGGUUUCACAUGGAGAAUUGUAAUCCAGUUGUGACUCCAACUGAACCGGGAUUGAAGCUCUCAAGGGAUCUUGAUGAAGAGAGGGUUGAUAGUACUUACUUCAAACAAAUUGUUGGAAGUUUAAUGUACUUGACAGCCACUCGGCCUGAUAUUAUGUAUGCAGUGUGUCUAAUUAGCAGGUAUAUGGAAAUGUUGAAGUUUCUAUAUAACAGUAGAUUUCUUGCACACAAAGUAUAUGAGACAAAGUUGUAGAGAGAAAGAGAGAGGGAGAGAAUCUGUUUUGGCUAUCUGAAUGUAAUCAGCACACACAUUUCAUUUCUCACAGAACAUUCCUUUUGUACAGCAGAGAAUAUGAUCUCAGCCAUACAAUUUAGUGCCAGCAAUAUGAGCUGCACACUUGGCAUGAGCUAGGACAUAUGAGACCUAUGCUCUAGAAUCUAAUCUAAGCCUUACACCUGUCAAACUAACAAACUUAAACCAGUAACAGAAUUUACAUUUCAACAGGAAAGACCAACGGAGCUGCAUCUCAGAGCUGCUAAAAGAGUGUUUCGUUACUUGAAAGGAACAACAGAUUUUGGUAUUUUCUACAAGAAAAAUGGAGGACCUAUUUGACUGGUUUGACAGUGAUUAUGCUGGUGAUUUGGAUGAUAGGCGGAGUACAACAGGCCAUGUAUUUUUGAUGGGUUCAGGUGAAGCAACAGGUUGUAACUUUGUCCACAACUGAAGCAGAGUUCGUAUCUGCAGCAACCUAUGCAUGUCAAGCAAUUUGGUUGAGAAGGAUUCUUGAAGAGCUACAGUUUUAUCAACAUGGGCUUACUGUGAUUCAUUGUGAUAAUAGUUCAACUAUUAAACUCUCCAGGAAUCCAAUUUUACAUGGAAGAAGCAAGCAUAUAGAUGUGAGGUAUCAUUUCCUUCGUGAUCUUGUAGCUGAAGAAACCAUUGAUUUGGUUUAUUGUCGAAGUGAAGACCAAGUUGCAGAUAUCCUGACCAAACCUCUAAAGCUGGAAGCAUUUGAGAAGUUGCGUGGAUUACUUGGAGUUUGUUCAAGUUCCUUUUUAAACUAACUGCAUAGAUGGCAUUCAGUUUAAGGGAGGGUGUUAAGAUGAAGACGAUUAUGUGCAGGAAAAUUUUCACCAUAAGGCACUUCACUGGCAAUAGCGUAGCGUAUAUAAUAUAAGGAUGCAAACAAAUUCACCUCUAGGGUAUAACAACAACUUAAGAACACGCAUAAUUACAAUUGCUUUAUAUUUAAUUUAUAAAACAGAAAUACCGCAAAUACAUGGAAACAAACUCAGACUGUUUCGAAGUUCUUUCCUACGACAAUACCGAUGCAAACAGGUAAACAAAUCGUAAUGGGCUACGUGCCUCUCUUGACAAAUCCUAAAAUCAUGUGUUUGGGUCAAGGUUUUAGGACAACGACUACGUACCUCUCUUGACAUCAUUAAUUCAUAUUGAAUGCAAAGGUAUCAGAUAAAUACGUACUCAUUUUUCGAAGCAACACGCAUAUUAGGUUGUAAGAAACCAUAUGUGAUAUGCGCUUGUACUCUUUAUCUGUAACAUCCACAGGUACCACAAAGAUUUUUCGCAAUCGUUCCAUCCCAUACCCCUCAAGAUACUUGUGCAGUGCAGGUCAUGGAAUGACCGCACAGUGAUUGUCGUAGCUGAUGGAUCCUUUUGCCAUUCCACCUCAACCCAAUCAAUAUUCGAUUUUUGUUUUCCAACCAAGAUGAUUGUACACAAAUUGGCACCUUACGUGCAUCAGUUUGAAAUCAUCCAUGUUCUUGGCCACAUGAGCCACUCGAAAGUACCUGAGAAUCUUUCCUACAACAAUACAGAUGCAAACAUAUAAACAAAUCUUAUUCGGCUAAAUUAAGUCUAUGUUUAUUUAAAUAUAGCAUUAGCAUAUUAUUUACAAAUAGUCAUAUGAAAGUAAUACAACUACACAAACACAUUCCAAAAAAUAUAGUACGAUUUUAAAAUUACAUUUUGGACUUCUACACAUCAUAAAAACAAACAUGUGGUGUCUAAUAAAAUUGUAGACACAUUUCAAUAAUCAAACACAUCACAGAGAUGCAAUUUUACUGUACUACAUUUAAAACACGACAUUUUCGGUUAAGUUUAUUAAUAUAGUUCUAUAUGUAUACUGUAAUUUCAAUUAAGCGACAUUAUUUCGACAAUGAGAUAUUCAAUUCACUCUAAUUCAUGUACAUAGAUACAAAUGCAAACACAAACAGAUAAUCUCACAAAGUUUUUUCUGCAACUAAAGAGAUGAAAUAUACGGAUUUAGAUUGUUGGAAAAAUUCAAUAAUUAUACUCAUAAUAUUCAUAUGAAAUUAAGUAAAUAAAUUAUACCCGAAACACAUCAAUUAUACACAAUAACUAAUACAAUAAAUACGUAUGAAAAAGGUUAGGAAUAUCUGGCAUGUAAUGUCAGGAGAGGCACGUAGUCGCUGUCCUAAAGCCAUAGACGUCUUCCUAAAACCAUGUGUUUGGGUCAAAGUUUUAGGACAACAACUAUGUAGCUCUCUUGACAUCAUUAAUUCAUAUUGAAUACAAGGGUAUUGGAUAAAUACAUACUCAUUUUUUGGAGCAACCCGCACAUUAGAAAGUAAGCCACUUUUUUUAUGUGCGUUUACUCUUUAUCAGUAACAUCCGCACUGUGGUCGUUCCAUCUCGUACCCCUCCGGGUACUUGUGUAGGUCAUGGAAUGACUGCACAAUGAUUGUCUUAGCUAGGGCUGGCAAUGGGUCGUGUCAUGUCAAGAUUAUAUACGUGUCAAUAAUUAAAACAUAACUACUAAAUAAAGGAAUUCAAAAAGAGAAAUUCAAAUUAUGAUAUUUCAAGGGUAUAGCCGUACGGCUAUACGUUUAAAUAUUAUGUUAAUGGAGCCUUACCAAAACAAAUUUAUGUCCGGAGUGCUAAAUUGAAUCAAUAAAUUUGUGAUCAUGAAAAUAGUUUAGUAAUUCGCUUACUCACUUGAGAAGUUAUUUUAUUGCUUCUGUACAUAUCCACAUGACAUGUUGAUGUGAUUUAUCAAAAAAUUUCUCAAAUUAUUAUAAUUCGUGCACAAUAAUUAUAAAAUUCAAAUUUUACACAAAUUCUCACAUAUUAUUCAAUAAGAAUAACAUAUGGAAUAAAAAUUCUAUUAAAACAUCAAAUAAAGGAAGAUUAAUAUCUACUUUUUUUCAAAAAAAAAAAAGAUUAAUAUCUACUUUAUUUUAUUUUUUCAAAAAAAGGUGUACAGCCGCACGGCUAUACUCCAUGUUUUUUAUUUUUUUUUAAAAGACAUGUGCUGACACGGGACGCCACAUGGCUGGAGUCCUUUUUAUAAUUAAAAAUAGUAUCGCCGCACGGCUAUACUCAGCUUUGAAAUAUUUUUAAAAAAGACAAGUGUUCACACGUGGCGCCAAAUAGUUGGGGGACCCUUUUUAUAUUUAAAAAUAGUAUAGCCGCGCGGCUAUACUCAGUUUUGACCCUUUUUUCAGACCACAAGUGUUGACACGUGGCGCCAAAUGGCUCGGGGACCUUUUUUAUAAUAAAAAUAGUACAGCCGCGCGGCUAUACUUAGUUUUGAACCUUUUUAAGCACACAAGUGUUGACACGUGGCACCAAAUGGUUGGGGGACACUUUUUAUAUUAAAAAUAGUAUAGCCGCGCGGCUAUACUCAGUUUUGAACCUUUUUUAAGAACACAAGUGUUGACACGUGGCACCAAAUGGUUCGGGGACCUUUUUUAUAAUAAAAAAAAUACAGCCGCGCGGCUAUACUCAGUUUUGAACCUUUUUAAGCACACAAGUGUUGACACGUGGCGCCAAAUGGUUGGGGGACCCUUUUUAUAAUAAAAAUAUUAUAGCCGGGCGGCUAUACUCAGUGUUGAAACAUUAUUCAAAACACAAGUGUUGACACGUGGCGCCAAAUGGUUGGGGGACUUUUUUUAUAUUAAAAAUAGUACAGCCGCCCGGCUAUACUCAGUUUUGAAAUUUUUUUUAAGAACACAAGUGUUGACACGUAGCGCCAAAUGGUUGGGGGACCUUUUUUAUAAUUAAAAUAGUAUAGCUGCGCGGCUAUACUCAGUUUUGAAACAUUUAUUCAUAACACAGGUGUUGACACGUGGCGCCAAAUGGUUGGGGGACCUUUUUUAUAUUAAAAAUCGUAUAGCCGAACGGCUAUACUCAGUUUUGAAAUUUUGUAAAAGACAAGUGUUGACACGUGGCACCAAACGGUUGGGGGUCCUUUUUACAUUAAAAAUGGUAUAGCCGCGGCUAUACUCAGUCUAAAUUUUUUUGAAAACAAAAGUGUUGACACGUGGCACCAAAUGGUUGGGGGACCUUUUUUUUUAUUUAAAAUAGUAUAGCCGCGCGGCUAUACGUAGUCUUCAAAUUUUUUAAAAAAUAGUAUAGCCGCACGGCUAUCCUCAGUUUUGAAACAUUUUCAAAAAGGACAAGUGUUGACACGUGUCACCAAAUUGUUGGGGGUCUUUUUUUAUAUUAAAAAUAGUAUAGCCGAGUGGCUAUACUUAGUUUUGAAAUAUUUUUUAAAAAGACAAGUGUUGACACGAGGCGCCAAAUGGUUAGGGACCUUUUUUAUAUUAAACAUAGUAUAGCCGCACGGCUAUACUCAGUUUUGAAACAUUUUUAAAAAAGACAAGUGUUCACACGUGGCACCAAAUGGUUGGGGGUCCUUUUUUAUAUUAAAAAUAGUAUAGCCGAUCGGCUAUACUCAGUUUUGAAAUUUUUUUUAAAGGACAUGUGUUGACACGUGGCUCCAAAUGGUUGAGGGAACUGUUUUAUAUUUAAACAUAGUAUAGCCGCACGGCUAUACUCAGUUUUGAAACAUUUUUUAAAAAGACAAGUGUUGACACGUGGCACCAAAUGGUUGGGGGACCUUUUUUAUAUUAAAAAUGGCAUAGCCGCACGGCUAUACUCAGUUUUGAAACAUUUUUUAAAAAGACAAGUCUUGACACGUGGCGCCAAAUGGUUGGGCACCCUUUUUACAUUAAAAAUAGUAUAGCCGCGCGGCUAUACUCAGUCUUGAAAUUUUUUUAAAAAAUACGUGUUGACACGUGGCUCCAAAUGGUUGAGGAAACUUUUUUAUAUUAAAAAUAGUAUAGCCGGUUUAGAAAUAUUUUUUAAGAACACAAGUGUUGACACGUGGCGCCAAAUGGAUGGGUGGCCUUUUUUAUAUUAAAAGUAGUAUAGCCGCGCGGCUAUACUCAGUUUUGAAAUAUUUUUUAAAAAGACAAGUGUUGACACGUAGCUCCAAAUGGUUGGGGGACCUUUUUCAUAUUAAAAAUAGUAUAGCCGCCGGGGUAUACUUAGUUUUGAAAUUUUUUUUACAAGCCAUGUGUCCACCUGCCUCCAAAUGGUUGAGGGAACUUUUUUACACUUAAAAUAGUAUAGCCACCCGGCUAUACUCAGUUUUUCAAAAUAAUAUAUAUACAUAGUAUAGGCAAGAGGUGUUACUAUAGUCUUUUACAUAUGUAUUCACACAUAUAUAUAUAUAUACAAAUAAUUCUCACAUAUUAUUGAAUAAGAAUAACAUAUGGAAUAAGAAUUGUAUUAAAACAUCACAUAGAGGAAGAUUAAUAUCUACUUUGGUUCUUCUUUAUUUAUUUAUGUUUAAAAGGUGUACAGCCACCCGGCUAUACUCUAUGUUUUUGAUUUUUUUAAACAGACAUGUGCAGAUACGUGGCGCCACAUGGCUGGAGUCUUUUUUAUAAUUAAAAAAUAUUAUAGCCGCGCGGCUAUACUCAGUUUCGAAACAUUUUUUAAAAAUACACGUGGCACUAAAUGGUUGGGGGUCCUUUUUUAUAUUAAAAAUAGUAUAGCCGAACGGCUGUACUCAAUCUUGAAACAAAAGUAUUGACACGUGGCACCAAAUGGUUGGGGGACCUUUUUUUUAAAAAAAUAGUAUCGCCGCGCGGCUAUACUCAGUCUUCAAAGUUUUUUGAACAAUACAUGUGCUGACACGUGGCUUCAAAUGGUUGGGGGAACCGUUUUGUAUUAAAAAUACCAUAGCCGAACGGCUAUACACAGUUUUGAAAUAUUUUUUAAGAACACAAAUGUUGACACGUGGCGCCAAAUGGAUGGGUGACCUUUUUUAUACUAAAAAUAGUAUAGCCGAGCGGCUAUACUUAGUUUUCAAAUAUUUUUUAAAAAGACAAGUGUUGACACGUGGCGCCAAAUGGUUGGGGGACAUUUUUUAUUUUAAAAAUAGUAUAGCCGCACGGCUAUACUCAAUUUUGAAACAUUUUUCAAAAAGACAAGUGUUGACACGUGGCGCCAAAAAGACAAGUGUUGACACGUGGGUCCAAAUGGUUGGGGAAACUUUUUUAUAUUAAAAAUAGUAUAGCCAAAUGGCUAUACUCAGUUUUGGAAUAUUUUGUAAGAACACAAAUGUUGACACGUCGCGCCAAAUGGUUGGGGGACUUUUUUUAUAUUAUAAAUAGUACAGCCGGACGGCUAUACUCAGUAUUGAAAUAGUAGAGCCGCUCAAAACUGGUUGACACGUGGCACUAAAUGGUUGGGGGUCCUUUUUUAUAUUAAAAAUAGUAGAGCCGCUCGGCUAUAGUCAGCCUUGAAUUUUUUUUGAAAAAUACAUGCGUUGACACGUGGCUCUAAAUAGUUGGGGGAACUGUUUUAUAUUAAAAAUAUAUAGCCGCACGGCUAUACUCAGUUUUGAAAUAUUUUUUAAGAACACAAAUGUUGACACGUGGCGCCAAAUGGAUGGGUGACCUUUUUUAUACUAAAAAUCGUAUAGCCGCGCGGCUAUACUUAGUUUUGAAAUAUUUUUUAAAAAGGCAAGUGUUGACACGUGGCGCCAAAUGGUUGGGGGACAUUUUUUAUAUUAAAAAUAGUAUAGCCGCGCGGCUAUACUCAGGUUUGAAUUUUUUUUAAAAAGGUCAUGUGUUGACACGUGGCUCCAAAUGUUUGGGGAACUGUUUUAUAUUAAAAAUAGUAUAGCCGAACGGCUAUACUCAGUUUUGAAAUAUUUUUUCAAAACACAAGUGUUGACACGUGGCGCCAAAUGGGUGGGUGACCUUUUUUAUAUUAAAAAUAGUAUCGCCGCGCAGCUAUACUCUGUUUUGAAAUAUUUUUUAAAAAGACAAGGGUUGACACGUGGCGCCAAAUGGUUGGGGGACCUUUUUUAUAUUAAAAAUAGUAUAGCCGCGCGGCUAUAGUCAGUUUUGAAACAUUUUUUAAAAAGACAAGUGUUGACACGCGGCACCAAAUGGUUGGGGGUCCUUUUUUAUAUUAAAAAUAGUAUAGCCACGCGGCUAUACUCAGUGUUGAAAUUUUUUUGACAACACAAAUGUUGACAUGUGGCACCAAAUGGUUGGGGACCUUUUUUACAUUAAAAAUCGUAUAGCCGCGCGGCUAUACUCAGUCCUGAAAUUUUUUUAAAAAUACACGUGUUGAGACGUGGCUCCAAAUGGUUGGGGAAACUUUUUUAUAUUAAAAACAGUAUAGCCGAACGGCUAUACUCAGUUUUGAAAUAUUUUUUAACAACACAGAUGUUGACACGUGGCGCCAAAUGGAUGGGUGACCUUUUUUAUAUUAAAAAUAGUAUAGCCGCACGGCUAUACACAGUUUUGAAAUAUUUUUUAAAAAGGCAAGUGUUGACGCGUGGCUCCAAAUGGUUGGGGGACCUUUUUCAUAUUAAAAAGAGUAUAGCCGCCCGGCUAUACCCAGUUUUGAAAUUUGUUUUACAAGCCAUGUGUCCACCUGGCUCCAAAUGGUUGGGGGAACUUUUUUACACUUAAAACAGUAUAGCCGCCCGGCUAUACUCAGUUUUGAAAAAAAAUAUAUAUAUAGUAUAGGGGAGAGGUGUUACUGGUUUUUUUUUUGUUUAAAAAAAUUGAAUUUAAGAAAUAGUAUAGACGAGAGACUAUAGUCUUUUACAUAUGUAUUCACAUAUAUAUAUAUAUAUACAAAUAAUUCUCAUAUAUUAUUGAAUAAGAAUAACAUAUGGAAUAAAAAUUGUAUUAAAACAUCACAUAGAGGAAGAUUAAUAUCUACUUUGGUUCUUCUUUAUUAUUAUUAUUUUUAAAAAGGUGUACAGCCGCACGGCUAUACUCUAUAUUUUUUUUAUUUUUUUAAAAAGACAUGUGCAGACACGUGGCGCCACAUGGCUGGAGUCUUUUUUAUAAUUUAAAAAUAGUAUAGCCGCGCGGCUAUACUCAGUUUUGAAAUUUUUUAAAAAAGGACUUGUGUUGACACGUGGCUCCAAAUAGAUAGGGAACUUUUUUAUAUUAAAAAUAGUAUAGCCGCUCGGCUAUACGCAGUUCUGAAACAUUUUUUAAAAAGACAAGUGUUGACACGUGGCACUAAAUGGUUGGGGGUCGUUUUUUAUAUUUAAAAAUAGUAUAGCCGGACUUCUAUACUCAGUUUUGGAACAUUUUUUAAAAAGACAAGUGUUGACACGUGGCACUAAAUGGUUGGGGGAACUUUUUUAUAUUAAAAAUAGUAUAGCCGGACGGCGAUACCCUGAUAUAUAUAUUUUUUUAAACAACUACAAUUGCAGAACCUGUCAAGUUCUUGAUGGAAUCACACAUCACGUGCAUAUUUAAAGAAAUAGUAUAGCUGCGCAGCGUAAAUUACUUAUCGAAAAUUUAUGCACGCUGGAAACUGUUGUUUUGAGACAUGAAAUCAGUUUCUGGUUUAUGUAUGUAGAUUGGUUUUGCUCUGAAGAAGCUGUUUACCGAUGGGGCUGUGAAGCGUGAGGACUUAUGGAUCACCUCCAAACUCUGGUUUGUUUGAAACUCUGCUUAAGUUUUGUAGUCUUCAAUUUAUCAUCUCAAAAUUCCAACUUUACCAUCAAAUGCUAAGUUGAAAUCAGAAUUAUCUGCAGGUGUACUGAUCAUGAACCAGAUGAUGUGCUUGACUAUCUGGAUCUCUAUCUUGUAAGUGCACAAGUUUAAGAUUUACCCUUAUAGUAAAUGUACCUUGAAGAUGUCACCUAGAAAUGUAUGUUUUAUUGGAGGUAAAAUGAAAUUAAUUAAUCACAUGCCUUGGACUGACUAAUCAAAACAAAUUUUUGAAGAUACAUCAACUUUCGGAGUCUCACUAGCACAUUUAUUUUGUUCUGAUGUAUGCAUAAAGUAAUAUUGCAAUUGCUUAUUUGUAAUCUUGGUAGAUCCACUGGCCAGUGAGCAUGAAAAAGGGGUCAGUUGGCUCUGAUCCUCAAAACCUUACCCAACCUAAUAUACCCAGUACAUGGAAAGCAAUGGAGGCACUCUUUCACUCUGGCAAGGCCAGGGCUAUUGGAGUCAGCAACUUCUCUUCAAAGAAGCUUGGAGAUCUGUUAGAGGUGGCACGAAUACCUCCAGCUGUUAAUCAAGUGGAAUUGCACCCUCACUGGCAGCAACCGAAGCUGCACACUUUCUGUAAAUCUAAGGGAGUUCAGUUAUCUGUGAGUAUGCGGAGACAAAGUCUUUUAUUGUUACACAUGACUUCUGUGAAUAAUUUGGGAACAGAAUAGGCUAGAUUUUCAUUUUUGUGGUUCCUGAACCUCAGCAUUGGCUAAUUAGUGAUGUAUUUUUGUGAUGAAUAAUCUUAUUCCAGGCUAUUGUCCAUUGGCAAGGAAUAAGGUCCUUAAGAAUUUAAUUGUGAACUUGGUGGCAGAAAAACUGGGCAAUACUCCUGCCCAAGUGACUCUUCGAUGGGGGUUACAAAUGGGUCACAGUGUAGUGCCUAAAAGCACGAAUCAGGCAAGGAUACAGGAAAGCUUUGAUAUUUUUACCCGACGACUUGUUUGCCAAAUUCUCUGAAAUUAAGCAGGCAAGUGCCUUUUCCUUUUCUCCCCCCUUCUUUUCAUUCUUUCUUUGUUCUAGUUUCGGUGCGUGCUUGUCAAGAGGGCUUUAGUUUCUUUUGGACGGUCGAUUUUAACUUUCUUUGUAAUUGAUGAUGCAGGUGAAGCUUGUUCCAGGAACUGGUUUUGUACAUGAGACUUUGGGUGCGUACAGGACCCUUGAAGAACUGUGGGAUGGCGAGUUGUGAGCAGAACCUAGGUCCUGUUUCAAUGGUUUAUAACUUUAUACCUAAUGUGCAAGUGCAACCGCACCAAAACUAGAAUUGUAUGAACUAUUGAUUCUGCCAUUAAAAUCUAAGUGAUGAGUAUAUAGUGAUGUGAGAGGUGGAAUUGUUGCAUGUUCAAUCUCCUUCACCUGCUUGUUUUUAGCUCAAUAUAGAAGACAAUCAAUUUCUGAUGCUUUCCUCCUUAUUUCAAAAUUACUAGUGCUUUAUGCCUAAGUAUAAAGGCUUGAUCAUAAAAUUGGUGUCCUAUCAUCAAAUUAUAGAAUGCACUAGAGGGAUGGUGUGCAAUUUGUCAACAAUUUACAUCAAGAACGUCCAUUCUAUUCUUGUAUUCAUUGAUGUAAUUUUUUCAAUAAAGAAUUUAGGUUUUUUUUUUUUGGUAAUUUAUUAUUUGCACUCCAAAAUAUUGAUCAUGCACUCUCAUUAAUAAAAUAUUCACUUGCAAUUAAAAAAAAUUUGAUGUGUACCAUUAUUGUUUUUCUAUUGCAAAAAGGUAGACUUUUUAAAUAUAAAAAAAUACAAGCGAUAGCCUAAACUACAACUAAGAGCAAAAUUUCUCACUCACACAUGUGUUAUCAAUGUGUUACGGAUAUGGAAGUUAAAAGGUAGGCAAAUUUUUUUUUUUGUUUGAGGACCUUUCCUAUUAAGAGGGGCGAUAACAUACUAAACUCACACACACUACACAAAUGAUAUUAAAGAGUAGUGUAGUGUAAAUUCCGGAAAUGGCUUAAGGCUUUGUUUGGUUACCAGGAAAUGAGAUCAAGAUUUGAAUGUUUUUGUGCUUUUCCCAAAAGGGGAAAUCAAGCCUCUUUAGAUUGCCUGUUUGAUUCGGUAAACUUAGCAUCGACUAAAAAUGUGGCUAUACUAAUUGCAGGCAGGAUAUCGGCAUAUUGAUUGUGCUCAACUCUAUGCCAAUGAGAAGGAGGUAAUUUAUAGUUGUUUGUUUUUUAUGUAUACUAAAUUAGUUAUCGAAAAAUUUACUGUAGUUGUAGUUUUCAUUUCAUUAUUGCUGUCAAUCUUUAUUUAUUUUUUAAUAAUCCCUUUAUGAAUUUGUGCAUGUUGAAAAUUGCUCUCAGUAACUCCUACCAUAAUGGUUUAAUUGUCAAGUUCAUCUUUAGGUUUUCAAUUGUAGAUAAAAAUGUAAAUCGUUUAUGUUUCCAUCAUUCUUUCAAGAUGUUUAACUUGUUACCCGAAUAUAUGGUUUGAUAAAGAUGCUGUUUCUGUUUCUCGUAGAUUGGUUCUGUCUGAAGAAGCUAUUUGAAGAUGGUGCGGUGAAGCGUGAGGAUUUGUGGAUUACUUCCAAACUCUGGUUCGUUCUAACUUAUAAAUUUAAUUCUAAUUUAAUUGAGUAUUGACAUAUCAUUAGGAAUUGCAUAAGUAGUAAUUUAUGCUAAAGUGAUGGUGCUGCCAACCUUGUUUGGUUUAUCCACAGGUGUACUGAUCAUGCACCAGAAGAUGUACCAGAGGCAUUGGACAGGACUUUGAGAGACUUGCAGCUCGAUUAUGUUGACUUGUAUCUUGUAUGUAUUACCUGUUCAGAGCUUCUCAAGUUUUGUCUCUUAGAGUUUGGUACUAGGGUGUAUGUAUUAUCUGAUCUUUCUCAGCGAUUCAGUAUAGAUAAAUCUGUGCCAUGCCCAGUUCAGGGUAUAAUCUGCAAUUUCCUUUUUUAAAGAAAAAAUUUACAUACAGCAUAAAGGAAUGGGAUGGCAAUUUGUUUACCAUCUUUUAAUAUAUAAGUUACUUUUGAAUUCAUUGAUCCCCUUUCAGUCUAGUUAUGUUUCCUGGAAUUUGCUAAAACUUAUCAAGUUAAAAUCAUGGAUAAUUAGCCUCGUUGUCUUAAAUUAGUUAUAGCAUUUGGGCAUUAUUCAGUUGUAACUAAUGAGCCUGCUGAAAAUUUGAACAUACACUGGCCAGCCAGGAUGAAGAAGGGGUCAGUAGGUUUUAAGCAUGAAAACCUUAUUGACCCAGAUAUCCCUGCAACUUGGAGAGCAAUGGAAUCACUCUAUGAUUCGGGAAGGCUCGAGCUAUUGGCGUGAGCAAUUUUGUUAGAAUAUGCAGACCAUUAUCUUGCAUAUUAAUUCAAUCAACCAUGUAAUAGGUUUCAAAGAAAAUGCAGAGAGUUUUAGAGAAUAGAGAGAGAGCUUGGAGAAGAAGCUGGCUAUGUGAAUUAGCUCAGCACCAAAAUCAUGCAUAUACUGUGACUCUGACAAAACCGUUAGAGAAGAGAUAUUUCCUAUUACAUCACUCAAUCUUAGCCAUUUAAUCAUUACCCUAUGAGAUAAUGACAAGUGGCAUAAGCUAUUACAUUCUCUGCUGUACACUUGGACUAUGAUCCAACGCAGCCUUUCUAACUAGAAUAGAACCUUCCUAUUCUAAUUGCAUUUCAGCAGCCACACUUAUACACCAACACUCCCUUCUAAGUGUUGUGCUGAAAUAACUCCUAGAGCUUUCCUCAAAUACUAAAAUCUAUCUCUUGCUAAAGACUUGGUGAAAAUGUCAGCAAGCUGCUCUUCAGUCUUGCAAUAUAGCAAAUCGAUCUCACCAUUUUGAAGAGCAUCUCUUAUGAAGUGAAACCUGCGGUUGAUGUGUCUGGUUUUGUGAUGAUGAACAGGAUUCUUCGAUAUAGCAAGAGCUGAAGUGUUGUCACACAACAACUGAGUUGGUUCUACCUGUUCCUCUCCAAAAUCUGAUAACACAAACCUCAGCCACAUAACUUGUGCAGUAGCUUCUGCUGCAUUCAUGUACUCAGCCUCUGCUGUAGACAGAGCAACACUGCUUUGCUUGAUUGAAGCCCAAGAAAAUACACCUGACCCCAAGUUGAAUGCAUAGCCUGAUGUGCUCAUCAUGUCAUCUUCACUUCCACUCCAAUCACUAUCACAGUAACCUAUUAGCACUGCUCCUUUUCCCUUCUCAUAAGCAAUUCCAUAGCUUAUAGUGCCUUGAAUAUAUCUCAACACUCUCUUUGCUGUUCCCAUGUGCUUCUUGGUUGGAUUAUGCAUGAAUCUAGCCAAGAGACUUGCUGCAAACAUGAUAUCUGGUCUGGUUGCAGUCAGGUAGAGCAAGCUUCCCACCAUUUGCCUAUACAAAGUCUCAUCUGCUAGUUCACUUCCAUCCACUUUUGAAAACUUUUCAUUCACUGCCAGUGGUGUUGCAACAGACUUGCAAUCCUUAAGUCCAAACUUGUCAAGUAAGGUCUUUGCAUACUUCUUCUGGUGUAGGAAGAUGCAAGCAUCAGUUUGCAGGACUCCAAGACCAAGGAAGUGAUGAAGCAGUCCUAGGUCAAUCAUUUCAUAUUGUCUCAUCAUAUCAUUCUUGAAUGCAGCCAUCAUUUCUUCUGAACUUCCUGUGUAGAUAAUGUCAUCUACAUAUAGGGACACAAUGAGAUUUUCACUUGUAGACAUCUUAGUGUACAAUGUAGCUUCACUUGGACUUCUAUAAAAACCAGUUUUGAUGGUGAAAUAGGAAUUUAUCUCUUCAUACCAAGCUCUUGGAGCUUGUUUCAAACCAUAUAAGGCCUUUUUCAGCUUAUACACCUUAUCUUCACUUCCUUGUAUCACAAAGCCAGAUGGUUGAUCCACAUACACUUCUUCAUUUAGCACUCCAUUAAGAAAUGCUGACUUUACAUCCAACUGAAACAGUCUCCAGUUUCUCGGUGCGGCUACAGCCACCAAGGUUCUUACAGUAUCAAGCCGAGCCACUGGUGCAAAGGUCUCAUUGAAGUCUCUAUUCCAGGCUUUUGAGAAUAUCCCUUUGCAACCAGCCGAGCCUUAUUCUUCUGCACAGAUCCAUCUAGGUUCAGUUUAGUCUUAUAGAUCCAUUUGAUUCCAAUGAUUGGUUUAUCAAAUGGUCUAUCCACAAGCUCCCAUGUAUUGUUCUUUUCAAUCAUGGUGAUUUCAUCUUCCAUUGGUUUCUUCCAAGAGUCAUCCUUUGCUGCCUCUUCAAAACUUUCUGGUUCUAUAAUGCACAUGUUGCAUUUUUCAUAAAUUUCUGCAAUGCUCUUGUACUUGAGAAAAGUAUUAUCAACAUCCUGUGAUCCUGUGACCCUUUCUAGGUCACUGGUUUCAGUGUUUAAGCUAGGCAUCUCAUUCACUUCCAAUUGUUCUUCAAAUUCACAAGAACUCCCUUUUGCUCCUUGUUCUUCUUCUCUGAUUUCAGUGAGCUGAAUGUUCACACUAGUUUCCUUCUUUGCAUUCCAAUCCCAACACUCAUUCUCACUAAAUAUCACAUCUCUUGAAACAAUUACUUUUCCAGUUUCAAUAUUGUACAGCCUGUAUCCUUUCUCACAGCUGCCAUACCCCAGAAAAAUACACAUCUUGCUUGCCAAAUCUAGUUUCUGUCUUUGCUGUUUUGGUACAUGAGCAUAACACAAUGAACCAAAUACCUUUAGAUGCUUAACUCCUGGUUUCCUCCCACUAUAAGCCUCAAAUGGUGUCCUUUUACUCAAAGCUUUAGUUGGACACCUAUUCAAAAUAUACACAGAUAUGUUGACUGCCUCAGCCCAGAAGUCAAAUGGAAUUUUCUUCUCCAACAGCAAACACUUGGCCAUUUCUACUAUAGUUCUAUUCUUUCUCUCUGCCACACCAUUUUGCUGUGGUGUGUAUGGAGUUGUAAGCUGCCUUUCAAUGCCUGCAUUAUCACAGAACCUGUCAAACUCCACUGAAGUGUAUUCUCCCCCUCUGUCACUUCUCAAUUUUUUUAGUUUGUAACCACUUUGCAAUUCCACAGUGGCUUUGAAUUUCUUAAACACAUUUAGAGCUUCUGACUUGUGCCUUAAGAAAUAAACCCAACACAUCCUUGUGCAAUUGUCAAUGAAAGUGAGAAAAAACCUAUUUCCAGCUUUGGUAACUGUCUGCAUAGGACCACAGAUGUCACUGUGAAUAAGUUCUAGUGGAGUUGAUGCUCUAGUGGUAGCUUCUUUUGGAAAUGCUUCUCUACUCUGCUUGCCUAGAACACAACCCUCACAAACCUCUUUAACUUCUUUAAUUUCUGGCAGCCCUACUACCAUAUCUUGCUCUUUCAACAGUUUCAGACUACUCAUAGAUGUCCAAAACUUCUAUGCCAGAGGUCAGUGGAAUGGUUUACACCUGCUCUAUAAGCUAAGUGCAUUUCAGCCUGCAAUUUUAAAGGAAAGCUUCUAUUUCCUUUCAUUUGAACUUUUGCCACCAGAUUUGUAUGAGAGCUGUCAUUGUAGAUUUCCACCUUGUGAUCUCCAAAUACCAAAUAGUAGCCAUGCUCUAUCAUCUGUCCCACACUGAGUAAGUUCUCUUUCAAUCCAGGUACAAGCAUUAUUUCUUUGAUAUGUCUCUUGCCUGCUUUGGUUUCAACCACAAAAGUGCCAUUUCCAGUUACCUCUACAAGCUGUCCAGUUCCCAUUUCAACCUUGGCAGUCACAUUUCUGUCAAUAUCCACCAGCAAAUCCUCUUUUCCUGUCAUGUGAUUACUACACCCACUGUCCAAAUACCAGAUCUCUUCAUCCCUUGUUACACCAGCACCACUUGCAUUGCUAGCAUAGAACAUUGUUGGUGCAGCUUCCACUUGAGUAGCAUAGUUGACCUGCUGUGGUGUUUUCUUGCUGUAGCAGUCUUUUGCAAUGUGGCCAAGCUUAUCACAAUUAUAACACUUUGGCUUGCCCUUGAAUCGACAUUCACCAAAAUGUAGCUCACCACAGUGCUUGUAGGGAGUUUUAGUGCCUUCACUUGCCUUGUUAUCCCACUUCUUGCCUUUGGAUUUCCAAUUUUUAUUCUGCUUGCUGUUUUGUUCUCCAGUUUUAGUCUGUUUGGCAUCUACACUAAGGCUAGCAAAUGCCUUCUCUGUUUUGUUUUCAGAAUGCCUAUCUAAACGCAACUCAAAGCUCUUUAGUGAGGCUACAACCUCCUGCACCUCAAUCUCAUUCAGAUCUCUAGAGUGUUCAAUAAUUGAACAGAUAGAGUCAUAGGUAGAUGGCAGACUAAUAAGCAGUUUUUGAACAAUUCUCUCCCUAGGCAAUUCCUCCCCAUAACUUCUCAUUUGAUUUAUCAAAUCAAAUAGUUUAGUAACAUAGGCAGUUAAGGAUUCAUCAUCCUUCAUUCUUGUAUAUUCAAAUUCUCUUCUAAGACCUUGCAAUUUAACACUCCUUACCUACUUAUCUCCAUGGAAUUCUUGCUGCAGAAUACUCCAGGCACCUUUUGAUGUUUCUUCAUGAGAGAUUCGUGGGAAUAUCUCUUCUGAAACUGCUCCUUGAAUCAAUCCAAGAGCCUUAGCAUCCUUCAUGAGUACCUCAGCAACUAUGCCUUUCUCACUUGAUUCUUCUGUCUCCUUUUUCUUAUCAUCAGAUUCAUCUGACUUCUUCAGAUCCGUACCAUCAAAUCCUUUUAUCACCAAAUCCCACAGUCCAUGAGAUUUGAAGAUGGUCUUUAUCCUUAUGCUCCAGAAAUCGUAGUUCUCACCAUUGAAAAUUGGUGCUCUCAAUUCACCACCACUUGACCCAGCCAUGUUAGACUCACAUCUGCAGAACUCAAGCUCAGCUGCAACUUCAAUAGCUUAGCACAGAAAAACGCCCAGUAUUACUUGAUCAAACCUGGCUCUGAGGCCAUGUUAGAAUAUGCAGACCAUUAUCUUGCAUAUUAAUUCAAUCAACCAUGUAAUAGGUUUCAAAGAAAAUGCAGAGAGUUUUAGAGAAUAGAGAGAGAGCUUGGAGAAGAAGCUGGCUAUGUGAAUUAGCUCAGCACCAAAAUCAUGCAUAUACUGUGACUCUGACAAAACCGUUAGAGAAGAGAUAUUCCCUAUUACAUCACUCAAUCUUAGCCAUUUAAUCAUUACCCUAUGAGAUAAUGACAAGUGGCAUAAGCUAUUACAUUCUCUGCUGUGCACUUGGACUAUGAUCCAACGCAGCCUUUCUAACUAGAAUAGAACCUUCCUAUUCUAAUUGCAUUUCAGCAGCCACACUUAUACACCAACAAAUUUCUCUACAAACAAGCUGUCAGAUUUGCUGGAUAUUGCACGUGUUCCUCCUGCUGUUGACCAAGUGGAGUUUCAUCCUUCAUGGCAGCAGGCCAAGCUGCGUUCUUUCUGUAAAUCCAAGGGUGUUCAUCUUUCUGUGAGUAUGCAAAUACUGAAUUACGUUGUCUGUGUAUUGAGUAGUGACAACUCACCUGUCUGUAAUUGGACCAAAUUUUAAUUUAAGCAUGUUCAUAUUUUUCUUUCAGGGAUAUUCACCACUGGGUUCUCCUGGAACAACAUGGAUUAAAAGCGAAGUCCUUAAGAAUCUAAUUCUUCUCACUGUUGCUGAGAAAUUAGGCAAAACUCCUGCACAAGUUGCUCUUAGAUGGGGACUGCAAAUGGGUCAUAGUGUUCUUCCUAAAUGUACUAAUGAAGCAAAGAUCAAGGAGAACCUUGAUGUUGGCUGGUCUAUCCCAGAGGACUUGUUUCCCAAGUUUUCUGAAAUUGAGCAGGUAAGUUUUUUACAGGAAUUGAUCCUCUAUUCUCCUUGCAAUCAGUACCUUGAUGUCUUUGUAUGGUCAGUUGUGCCAUAACACCAUUAAAUACAUUCCAACAUUAUUCCAUGUAUGGUUCUUCAAAUGGGCCUUUCUGGAGCCGGGGAUUACGUCUUGAGAUUUCAUCUUGUUGAUAAUGUUGAUACAAGCACUGAUGUCAUGCAGUCUUUUCUCCUAACUACAUUGAUUUCCAAUUGUGCAGGCAAGGCUGAUCAGAGGGGGCUCGUAUGUUCAUGAUACUUUUGGUCCCUACAGGAGCAUAGAGGAGUUCUGGGAUGGUGAAAUCUAGAAAAUCACAUGAAUGUUUUUGUGAAAGAGAGUCUAGGAGCAUUUGUUACGCGAAAAAAUGAACUUUUAUGAUUUGUAUGGAUCGUUUAUGUCCUAAAAAGCGAUUUGCUUGAUUAUGGUACUUGCACUUCUCUGUGUUUUGUUUACAUGAAGAAUACGACCACUUCUUACUACUAUACCCAUAAAUCUUUGUUUGAAAUUGUUGUUCUGGUUGGCAAAGAGAUUGCAAAAUCACCGUCAUGCAAUUUUGUUACAACAAGUAAGAAAUAAUCUUAGCCUCUUACAUUCUUUCAAAGUUAGUAAAAUACGGAACGGGAAAAAUACGAAUAAAAUAUGCAGUGUUUUAUUUGACAAAAUUUUUGUAAGUUACAACUGAAAAGUUCAGCCACUAUAUAAUAUUUUAAUAUAUAUUAUUUUUAUUCAAUAAUAUGUGAAAAUUAUGUGUAUAAUACAUGAAUGUUGCCUGUAUUAUUGACAAUUUUGUAAAAAAACACAUGUAUUAAACAUGGAAAAUAUAUACGUAUUGUACGUUUGUUUUUAAAAAAACGUGUAUAUUACCGAGUCUUUAAGAUGUGUAUGGAAAACGGAAGUAUUAUUAAAAAAUAUGUAUGUACGUGUAUAAUAUAAGUAUUAAACAGGAAAAAUGAAAAAUUCUUUAUACCGAUAAUAACUCUGGAAAACUAAAAAAGCAAAAGGGAAUAAUGGAGACUCUGAUCUAAUAGUAAAGGAUAACGCUCAAAACUAUUCUUAUCCAUAAACUAAAAUAUGGGAAUUUUAAAAUAAAUAAAUAAAAAAUAAAAAAAACACGAAGGACCCCAGUAUAGUUAAAUAGUAUAUUAGGCCAUUAUUUGAGUCUCUAUUGGCCCCUUUUAAAAGAAAUAGUAUAGCCGAGCAGCUAUACUCGGUUUUGCACUUUUUUUUUAAUAAAAGAAAUAGUCUGGCCAAGCGGCUAUACUCCAUUUUUUCUAAUCUUUUUUAAAGAUAUAGUAUAGCCGUUUGGCUAUAGUCGGUUUUUUCCAAUUUUUUUAGAAGAAAUAGUAUCACCGCAUGACUAUACUAUGUUUUUUUUUAAAAAAAAAAAAUUAAAAUAAACAGUAUAGCCGUGCUACUAUACCCGGUUUCUUUCCUAAUUUUUCAAAAAUAAAUAGUACAGCCGAGCGGCUAGACUUUUUUUAAAGUUUUAAAAAAAUCGUAUAGCCGUGCAGCUAUACUCGGUUUUUUUUUUUUAAAGAAAUAGUAUAGCCGCGCAGCAUAUAGUCUAGCCGUGCGGCUAUACAAGGGUUUCUUAAAAUUGUUUUUUGAAGAAAUACUAUAGCCAAACGGCUAUACGGGGUUUUCCCAAGUUUUUGAAAAGACAUAGUAUAGCCGAACGGCGAUUCUGGGUUUUUUAAUUUUUUCAAAAAGAAAUUGUAUAGCCGCCCGACUAUACUCGGGUUUUUUGUUGAAUUUUUUUAAGAAAUAGUAUAGCCACCCGGCUAGACUCGGUUUGUUCAAUUUUUUUAAAUAAAUAGUAUACCUGGUUUUUUCCCCUUUACGUACUUUAGAGUAUACAUGGUUUUUUCCCCUUUACGUACUUUAGGAGUAUAGCCGCCCGGCUAUACCCAAAGUAGUAUAGCCGAUCGGCUAGAGCCCAGGCGGCCGAUUUCUUUUGGAUCAUUUUUCGGUUGAAGAGCGCCAAUAACAUUUUUCAUUGCUCUGUCUACUUCUUCACCGUCGCUCUGAGAGAUUGAUAAUGGCGGACGAUAUUGGUUCAUUUGAGUUAAACACCGGAGCGAGGAUCCCUUCGCUAGGGUUAGGGACCUGGCAAUCAAGCCCUGGCCUCGUCGGCGACGCCGUUGCCACCGCUGUCAAGGUCUUCAUCGCUGAUCACUCCCAGCUUUGAAUUUUUUGUAAUCUUUACCAUUGAUUUGGUAGACUUAGCAUCUAACACUCAGCUGAAAAAUGGGGUUCUACUAAUUGCAGGCAGGAUAUCGCCAUAUUGAUUGUGCUCAACGCUAUGGCAAUGAGAAGGAGGUAAUUGCAGUUGCCUUUUGCUAAAUUAUUAAAUAAAUUUGAAGUUUUAAUAUCAUUUCUCUUCAUUAAAGUUGAAGUUUUAAUUUUGCUUUUACCCGUUUAUUUUACAAUACUUGUUUGAAAAAAAAAAAAAAAAUUUGUGUUUGGUUCAUUUGUUUUAAGAUGCUGAGUAGUUACUACAAUUUUCACGUACUUUUUACAAAAUUUUCCGUAUCACACACAAAUUCACAUAUUAUACAAAUGGUGGUUCAUAUAUUUUGAAAAAUAGUAUAGCCGGGCGGCUAUACUGGUUUUUUUUCCAAAUUUAAAAUAGUACUUCCACGCGGCUAUACUAGGUUUUUUCCUAAUAUUAUUUUCAAAAUAGUACAGCCGCUCGGCUAUACUCGUUUUUACCUAAUUUUUUAAAAACCAGUAUUGCCGGGCGGCUUUACUAGGUAUUUCCCCUUCUUCUUCUUUUUAAACAGUAUAGCCGUGCGGCUAUACGCGGUUUUUUUUUUAAUAUUCUGGUGAAUCGGACUCGGACUCGAACUCAUCACUGCGAACGUCUAGGGCACAGUGCAAGCCCAUUCCAGGUUUUGAGCAGUGUUCGAGAUAUCAGCCUAAGCGCUAGGCGGGAGGACACCGACACCAGGGAGUUAGGGGGGGGGCCUAGGUGGCCUGGGCUGAUCUAUGCGGCGCCUAGGCGGUCUGGGAGGAUCUAGGCGGCCUGGGCGGAUCUAUGCGGCGCCUAGGCGGCCUGGACUGAUCUAGGCGGCCUGGGCGGGUCGUGUCCUUUUUUUUUCCAAAUGAAGACAGACGAAGCUUGCUGGUGCGAAGCAGCAAAGGUGACAUGCAUAUAGUGUGUGAGAAGGAGGAAAUGUGACAUAAAAUAAGGAAAGGCAUAAGAAAUGAGGGGUUCGUUUCGUGUGGAGUGAAAGGAAUAGAUAGAAAACUGUGUUUCUGUUGUUGAGAGAGUGAGAAUUGGGAGGCAAAUGAAGAGGGAAUGAGAGAUUUAUAAUUCCUGGUGGUCUUGGUUGGGGUAAAGAAAAGGAAAGGAUAAAUUAGUCGUCAACACGCAUGCAGGGAGAGGUCGGUUAGUGGAGGGAGGCGCAUUGGCAUUGCUCACCAAUGCCUUUCUGCUUUAUUCAUUUCUUUCUAGUACUAGAAGCCUAAUGUUACGUAGAAAAUCCUUACAUCUUCUGCUCUGCAACUACUUUUUUAUUUAUUUAAAUAUUUUGACUGUACAAGUGGCAUAGCACUGUAGGGGAAGACACCUUCAACAAUAAUUAGUGUGGUAUUCUGUAGCAAGUGGCCUAGCACUGCGAAAUUCUAAAAUGUUAUAUUAUUUCAUCUUUUGUGUGGUGUUCUGUAGCAAUCCUCUUCAGGAAUGUUUUCAGAAUUUAGAGAGAAUACAAGCUAAUUUCACAGGGAGGAGAAGCCAUAGAAAAGCAGAACGCAGUGAUGACUUUGAUUGCACACUAUGCUAAAUAUGAACCUGUCACAACUCCUUGUGGGCAUUUCAUGCCUAUUUCAGUCAAUGGAUCGAGGUGAGUGUUUUGCUGUCACUGAUCCUAUUUAAUUGAGUUAGUCUAUAUCUUCUAAUCCCUUUUUAGUCCUUGACUUGUGUUAAAUUUUCCUAGGUAACAAAUGUCCUUUGUGCCCAACAGUUCUAGAACAUGUGUGCUUAUAAUAAUUGAAUGAGAUGCUUGUAUUAUUUGACAUCAGAAUUAUUGCUUUAUGGUUGCGCAUCCCCCAGGAGUUCCACCUAUUAUAGAUUGAGUCUGGCAUUCUCACUUUUACAGAGUAUAACAAUAUGUGCUUGCUAAUUUUUUGUGCUUAAUUAGUGUUAUAGCUUUCAGAGUUUACCAAGAUUGUUUGCUUCAGUUCUGUGGUCUACCUUCAAUAUCUUCUUUAUGUUUUUGCCAGUGCGACACUUAACGACAUUAUACAAAAGAACUUCCCAGAGGAAUUUGCCGAAAGGAAGUUGGAGAAUGAUACAAUGACAAACUUCAGUGUUGAUGUGAUGCCACUCUUUGUCAUGGAUGUUGUCCUCCCAUUUCAGAAGUUUCUGCUACUCAUUUUUUAACCUCGGAAUAGACUUAUGGUAAGUUGGUUAGCAGUUUGUAUUUUUCACAUAUGACAUUCAUAAAAUAUUUAAACGUAGAAGUGCAUUUGCUGCAAAAUAACUAUGUUGACAAACUUAUCUGGCAAGUUUUGUAUGCCUACUUGGUACUUUUCUACAGUCCAUGUGAUCCAUGUGUUGUGUUGUUUUUAUUGAAUAUUCAUAGAGUUUUGCUUGUACCUUGUCACUCAAACAACGGGUAAGGAGGACAUAUAUCAACUAGAAGGGUCUAGAGAGAGAGAGAGAGCAGACGUAAGUUAAUAACAAUUUGGUUUGCUGUAAUCUCUCUAUUGGAGUGUGCUCUUUUCUUUUAUAUUUUAUUUUUAAAUUUUUUGUUGUAGAGAAUAGUAAGAAGUUUGAGUUAAACUUGAUCCGGUUCUUAACAAUGCUUUUGAGUUUUUUUAAAAAAAAAAUUUUAUUAAUAAAUUGGUCACACAUUUUUCUAGAUGCAAAGUUGCAUAGUUUUCAACUUCAAUUGGCAAAACUUGAGAUACAAUAAGCAGAGCUUGAAGUGUUGUCGAUAAGGCAUCUUAUUUUACAUGUGACACAUGACCUAAAGGAAUUUGGUUGUAAAUCUUCAAAUGUAUUAUAGUUGUCACUGAAUUAAGUCUAAUAAUGUCAUUGCUAAAAGGACCUCUUGACAACUUAAACGUUAGGUCACUAUAUAUUAUUUUUAUUCAAUAAUAGGUGAUAAUUAUUUGUAUAAUACGUUAAUUUUGUGUGUCUUAUUGAAACUUUUGUUAAAAAUGUUAUUAUUUGAAAGGAUUUUAAAUUUUAAAACGUUUUAUUUUCUGUUUUAAUUUUUGGUUAGUUUCUUUUAUUUAUUAUAGGAGUUACAAAUUGUUUAAUUUUCAGUUUUUAUUUUCUAUUCAUUGCCACCAACUUUUAUGGUUAAAUGUGUUUGGAGGUUACGAGUUUUGGAUGCCUAUAAAAGGCCACUCCUCCUUCACAUUUCAAAUACUACAAUCAGAUUUCUCUAUUCUUAUACUUUCACAUAUUCCAUACUUUCUAUAUUAUUUUUGGGCAACGGUUCUGUGGCUUGGAGUUUUCUAUCCGACUGUGAACGUGCUCAUAGCGGAUCUUAAGCCUGCGUAUUGGGGUCGUAUCUUGGAGUCUUGUAGACCGUCAUUACUUGCACGUAGGGAGGCUACAAAGGCUUUAGGACAACGUCUUUGAGGUGCUUUCACUAUACCAGGCUUGCUUUCUUAAUCUUAACUUGUUUUAUUUAUUUGUUUACUUGGCUCUUUAUUUUACUUUACUGUUUAAUAUUUAUUUUAUAUAUUAUUUAUAACUAAAAGUUUUGAAUAAGAAUUUUAUAAAAAGGGAAAAAACCACAAUUUUUAAUAACAAUCUAAAGCCUUUGUAUGUUAAAAUUAUUCUUACCGUAUUUGUUUAAAGAAAACCUUUUUACCAAUAUUAAACCUCUAACCUAAUUGGUGUGCACCUUUGUUUUUUAAAAAAAAACUUAUUAAAGUUAUUAUUCAAAACCUUAAGUACCACUGUUGGAAAAGUUUAGUUACUCGUUUCAGUUUUGCUUGUGUUUGAUUGCUCAGUUACCAACCUCAAACAAAUUUCAAAAUCUUAAUAAAAUCAGUUUUAAAAAUUAAUUAAGUGCAUCAGAUUUUGUAACCGUUGUUUUAAGACAAAAUUAAAGUUAGAUAUUUUGUCAUAAACUUGGCACGUUUGUUUCUUUAAGUUAUUGUCUGUCCACCAACUGUUUGAUUAAUAUUCAAUCUUAAUUUCUAUUAUAUUUAAAUUUCAGAUUUUGUUGCUUCAUUAUUGUUUAUUGGAAUUGAGAUGGAUAGUGUAGAAACCAAUAGUGUUAAACCAGAAAAAUUUAAUGGGACAAAUUUUAAGAGGUGGCAAAGACAACUUAAAUAUUGGUUAACUAUUUUAGGGUUAGUUUCUGCCUUAGAAGAUCAAACCACACCUGAUAAAACUACUGAAACCACUUCUAAAACUAAGGAGAAGAUGACCAAAGAAGAAUUAGAAUAUCAUUGCCAUAAUAGAAUCCUUAGUGCUCUCUCUGAAGAUCUGUAUGAUGUUUAUCAAGAUACCAAAAAUGCAAAAACUUUGUGGGAUGAAUUAGAAGCUGAAUAUGGGAUAGAAGAUGCGGGAAUAGAUCGUUUUACAAUCUCGAACUUUAAUAACUAUACGAUGGUUGAGAAUAAAACUGUAAGUGAACAAAUUCAUGAGUACCAAGAUUUUUUUAAGGAAAAUAGAACUUAAGGGUACUAAGUUUAGUGAAGAGUUUAAAGUCUCUUGUCUCAUAGAUAAAUUACCUCCAAGUUGGUCAAACUUUGCAAAAACCCUUAGGCACAAACAAGGAGUUUUAACCUGAACCCAAGUUUUAAACUCCCUUAGGAUUAAAGAGAAACAUGAAUCAAGUAACAAGCCUAAGGAAGAAAAGACAAAUGUGAACCUAGUGGAAAGUUCAAACAAUAGGAAUCGUUUCCAAUCUAGAAGGAAAUCUUUCAAGAGGACAACAGAAAUAGCCAACCCAACCAUAAUCAAUUCAACCGAAACCAAAAUUGCCAGCACAAUAGACCCGAUAACAAUUCCAAUGGCAAUAGGGAUCAACCAUGCUUCGUUUGUGAAAGAACAAAUCAUUGGGCCAAAGACUGUCAUUACAAGAAGACCGAGCCCUACAAGCCCAAUCCUAAGUGGAACAAAGGACAAAGUGGUCCUAAAGCCCAAGUGAAUGUGUUGGUGGAUCAAGAUGAUCAAGAUGAACCCAAUCUAAGGAAUAGUUUUAAGCCUCUAGUUAAUGUCGCAUAUUUAAGUAAUAGUGAUUGGUGGUUAGAUUCUGGGGCAAACGUAAAUGUGUGUUUUGACAAACGAUUUUUCAAAAAUUACCAGAACUCAAGUGGAGGAAGUGUAACCCUAGGAAAUGACACCGUCGCACAAGUACGUGGAAUAGGAGAAGUGGAAUUGAAGAUGACAUCUGGGAAGACUCUAACUCUCAAGGAUGUGCGACAUGUUCCUGAAGUGAGGAGAAACCUUAUCAGUGGAUCGUCCUUAGUAAAACAAGGAUACAAAAUUGUAAUGGAGUCGAAUAGGAUUGUUAUUACUAUAAACGAUGUCUUUAUUGGAAAAGGAUAUGUUUGUGAUGGAUUGUUCAAAAUAAAUGUAGUUUUUGAAGAUAAUAAAAUUUCUCCUUAAGUUUUUAACAUUGAGUCUUGUAAUGUAUGGCAUGGAAGGUUAGGACAUGUAAGUUUGAGCAAAAUCAAAACGUUAAUGGAUCUUGAGCUAAUAAUCCUUAAGUCUAACAUAGACCUUAAGCAUAAAUGUGAAGUGUGUGUUCAAGCCAAACAAACUAGGAAUUCUUUCAAACCUGUAGAGAGAAACACAGAAAUCUUAGAGCUCAUACAUAGUGAUGUGUGUGAUUCAAAUAGGUCUCCUACUAGAGGUGGAAACAAGUACUUUGUGACUUUUAUUGAUGACUUCUCUAGGUAUUGCCAUAUUUAUCUUAUUAAGACAAAAGAUGAGGUGUUUAAUAAACUCAAGAUUUAUAAAAGUGAGGUAGAAAACCAAUUGGAGAAAAAGAUUAAAAGACUUAGAUCUGACAGAGGUGGAGAGUAUACCUCAAAUGAGCUUGGAGUGUUUUGUGAAGAACAUGGAAUUAUACAUGAAGUUACUCCACCAUAUUCACCCCAAUCUAAUGGAGUGGCUGAAAGGAAAAAUAGAACCCUGAUGGAUAUGGUAAAUUCUAUGCUUCUUAGUAGUGGACUACCUGAAAAUUUGUGGGGGGAAACAAUAUUAACUGUUUGUUUCAUACUUAAUAGGAUAACAUUGAAAGAUAAUGAGAAAACUCCUUAUGAGUUAUGGAAAGGAAGAUCACCUAACCUUAGAAUCCUAAAAGUGUGGGGGUGUUUAGCUAAGGUACUCAUACCCGAUCCAAAGAGAAAGAAAAUAGGUCAUAAGACUAUAGACGCAUUUUUCCUCGGUUAUGCGAAAAAUAGUAGUGCCAAUAGAUUCCUGGUGAUUAACUCUGAAGUAAAGGAAGUUGCAAACAACACAAUUAUGGAAGCAAGAGAUACUACAUUCUUUGAAGAUAUUUUCCCGUACAAGACAAGAAUUUCUAAGGAAGUACAAAUAAGUGAAAAGCCUUCUAGCUCAACUACGAUUGAAAAUUUAGAAUCUCAAGAACUUAGAAGAAGCAAAAGAGCGAGAGUUGAGAAGAACUUUGGAGAUGAUUUCUAUACCUUUCUAGUAGAAGGAGAUCCCACAACUUAUAAGAAGCCGUUAUGUCUGUGGAUGCACCAUUCUGGAAAGAGGCUAUAAAUGAUGAGUUUCAAUCUAUAAUUCAAAAUAACACGUGGAUGUUAACGAAUUUGCUUGCUGGAAAUAAAGCGAUAGGGUGCAAGUGGGUGUUUAGAAAAAAGUUGAAACCUGAUGGAAGUAUUGAUAAGUACAAAGCGAGAUUGGUAGCUAAGGGUUUUACACAAAAGAAAGGGAUAGAUUAUUUUGAUACCUACUCACCUGUUUCUAGGAUUACCACCAUAAGGACCUUGAUAGCUUUAGCAUCUGUGCAUAAUUUAGUGAUUCAUCAAAUGGAUGUGAAGACGGCAUUUCUAAAUGGAGACUUAGAUGAAGAGAUCUAUAUGGAGCAACCCGAAGGAUUUAUAGUUAAGGACCAAAAACACAAGGUGUGCAAGUUGGUUAAAUCAUUAUAUGGCUUAAAGCAAGCUCUUAAGCAAUGGCAUGAGAAAUUUGACAAGGUGAUUUUAGAUUAUGAUUUUAAGUUUAAUGGUCAUGAUAAAUGCGUUUACUAUAAAGAGAAUAAUGGAGAACACGUAAUCUUGUGCCUAUAUGUUGAUGACAUUUUGAUCUUUUGGACGAAUUAGAGAUUGUGAAUGAUGUGAAGUCAUACUUAUCUAGGAAUUUUGACAUGAAAGAUAUGGGAGAAGCACAUGUAAUCUUAGGAAUGAAAAUUAAGAAGACGACACAAGGAAUCUCUCUAAGUCAAUCUAGUACUAUUGAAAAGAUGUUGAAGAAGUUCAAUUACUUUGAGUGUAAGCCCACACCAACACAUUAUGAUCCCAAUGUUCAUUUAAAGAAAAAUCAAGGUGAACCAUUUUCUCAGCUGAAGUACUCCUAGAGGAUAGGUUCUUUGUUGUAUAUUGAAAAUAAGACUAGACCAGACAUUGCUUAUGCUGUUGGAAGGUUAAGUAGGUAUACACAUAACUCAAGCAAGGAACAUUGGAAUGCUUUGGAAAGAGUUUUCAAGUACCUAAGAGGAACAAUAGAUUAUUCAUUGUGCUAUAAAGGAUUUCCAAAUGUAGUAGAGGGAUAUAGUGAUGCAAAUUGGAUAACUGACAAUGAAGAAGUAAAGUCUACUAGUGGUUACAUUUUCUUAUUAGGUGGAGCUGCAAUUUCAUGGGGUUCGAAGAAGCAAACAAUUAUUUCUAGAAGUACUAUGGAGUCUGAACUCAUAGCUUUGGAUACUACUUGCACUGAGGCUGAAUGGAUUAAGAGUUUAUUGAUGGAUAUGCCUCUGGUAGAGAAACCAUUGCCUGCUUUAUCUAUUCAUUGUGACUGCAAGGCUACAAUAGACUUGGUGAAACAAUCUCACACAAAUAGGAAAAUGAACAGACACAUACAUGUGAGAUAUAAAUCUAUGAAGAGUCUAUUAAGUAAGAACAUUGUGUCUUUGGAGUAUGUGAAGUCGGAGAACAACAUUGCUGACCAAUUGACUAAAGGUCUUUCUAGGAGCAGAGUCCUAGAAAUGUCGAGGGGGAUGGGCUUAAGCCCAUAAGGGAGUCACCUAGGGAGGUAACCCAACUUCUGUUAUUGACGAUCCCAUGAAGGAAGUUCAAUGGGUAGAAACAAUCCAUACUGCGUGACUCAUUGAGCACGGUUUAUAUCAUGUGGAGGCAUCCCAGAGAUGUCCUCAUGCUCAUCCCUAUGACAUCAGUGCUAUAUAAUGUGACGUUAGGAAGGGAGUUAUCCCUGAAUGAGUUUCGAGGCGGGCAAUCUCCCGCAGGGUGCAGGUCACAUGUACUCUUGGAGAACUCACCUAAGUGAGAGACGUCGUGAGGCCGCGACUGUGAGAAUUGGGCUAUUCUCUAGCAACUCUCAUGAGAAUCAAGAUUAGCGCAUGGCCAUAAAUAGCGCUACCCCGCUUCCAAGCCUCAACCAAUACUAUGUGUGGGAUAUGUUGAAGUUUGGUCAAAGGUGCCGAGUUCAAUACUGUGUACACUCAGGUUCCUCAAAUGGAAACUAUCAUCACUAAGUGAAGGUUCAAGCCCGGAAGGCACCUACACCUAUUGCAUAGUAUUAUGUUGCCCAUAUGUAUAUUUUCUUUAUAUUUUACAAUUUUAAAAUUUUAAAACCCUUUGUGGGGGAUUGUUAUUAUUUGAAAGGAUUUUAAAUUUUAAAACGUUUUAUUUUCUGUUUUAAUUUUUGGUUGGUUUCUUUUAUUUAUUAUAGGAGUUACAAAUUGUUUAAUUUUCAGUUUUUAUUUUCUAUUCAUUGCCACCAACUUUUAUGGUUAAAUGUGUUUGGAGGUUACGAGUUUUGGAUGCCUAUAAAAGGCCACUCCUCCUUCACAUUUCAAAUACUACAAUCAGAUUUCUCUAUUCUUAUACUUUCACAUAUUCCAUACUUUCUAUAUUAUUUUUGGGCAACGGUUCUGUGGCUUGGAGUUUUCUAUCCGACUGUGAACGUGCUCAUAGCGGAUCUUAAGCCUGCGUAUUGGGGUCGUAUCUUGGAGUCUUGUAGACCGUCAUUACCUGCACGUAGGGAGGCUACAAAGGCUUUAGGACAACGUCUUUGAGGUGCUUUCACUAUACCAGGCUUGCUUUCUUAAUCUUAACUUGUUUUAUUUAUUUGUUUACUUGGCUCUUUAUUUUACUUUACUGUUUAAUAUUUAUUUUAUAUAUUAUUUAUAACUAAAAGUUUUGAAUAAGAAUUUUAUAAAAAGGGAAAAAACCACAAUUUUUAAUAACAAUCUAAAGCCUUUGUAUGUUAAAAUUAUUCUUACCGUAUUUGUUUAAAGAAAACCUUUUUACCAAUAUUAAACCUCUAUCCUAAUUGGUGUGCACCUUUGUUUUUUUAAAAAAAACUUAUUAAAGUUAUUAUUCAAAACCUUAAGUACCACUGUUGGAAAAGUUUAGUUACUCGUUUCAGUUUUGCUUGUGUUUGAUUGCUCAGUUACCAACCUCAAACAAAUUUCAAAAUCUUAAUAAAAUCAGUUUUAAAAAUUAAUUAAGUGCAUCAGAUUUUGUAACCGUUGUUUUAAGACAAAAUUAAAGUUAGAUAUUUUGUCAUAAACUUGGCACGUUUGUUUCUUUAAGUUAUUGUCUGUCCACCAACUGUUUGAUUAAUAUUCAAUCUUAAUUUCUAUUAUAUUUAAAUUUCAGAUUUUGUUGCUUCAUUAUUGUUUAUUGGAAUUGAGAUGGAUAGUAAACAAACCUUCCCCAAAGCUAGUCUUCUUGAUGGUUCCAACACCUCCAUCUCCUUCAACAAUUUCGGCACUUUUAACUGCUUGUGGAGCAAUCUUUGGGACGAGGUUGUCAGCAUCUAGAACAAGGGCUUUGAACAACCUAGGUGGAGCAAUGACAGAGGUGAACUCGGUUUCGUAUGUGAAGACACCCAUGAUGAUGAUGAUGAUUUAAGAGCUUAUUAGAAAAUGAUCAAAGAAAGAAUGAAUGUGGAGGAAGCUAAAAGAGAAUGAUUGAUAUUGGUGUGAGGAAGUGUGAGCACCAUAGGCGGUAUUUAUAGGUUAUUAAGGGUGAAGUGUCUGUUGUGUAAAGUAAACCCCAUGGAUAUGAAUUGAAUAUUUUAGUCAAAGAAAGCCACCUAUGCAAGGAAUUUUCUAAUGGAAUGUUCUGAAACACAUCCACGCACACAGUCCAUUCUGAUUGGCUAGUAAAUAUCAUAUUGGUCGUAUACAACACCACUGGUGUGCUGCUGAUUCUGCUGACUGCUGACUCAAUAAUAUCCUUAUUCAAUUGAAAAUUCUAAAGUCCUUUUCACUUUCAUUUUCAAAGUCUAAAGUCUUUGAUAUACAGCUGAGAUUUCACAAAGCCUGACCUUCAGCCUCAAUCUAUAAAUAGCAUCUCCAGUUCUCACAUUUUCCAGCAUCAAAUAUCAUCCCUGCCAAUUCUCUAAUCCUUUCACACUUUCAUUCUUUCUUUGAUCAUUUUCUAAGCUCUCAAAUCAUCAUCUUCAUCAUGGGUGUCUUCACAUACGCAGACGAGUCCACCUCAGUCAUCCCCCCACCAAGAUUGUUCAAAGCCCUUGUUCUUGAAGCAGACACACCCUCAUCCCCAAGAUUGCUCCCCAAUCAGUGAAAAGUGCUGAAAUUGUUGAAGGAGAUGGAGGUGUUGGAACCAUCAAGAAGAUUAGCUUUGGUGAAGGUUGGUUUCUGCCAUUGCCUCUUCUAAGUCUAACUUGUUUGCUUAAUUAAUAUCAUAAAUCUUGAAAGCAUUAAUCUCUUAAUUUCUAAUUAUAAUCUCAUUUUACAGGAAGUCAUUACAGCUAUGUGAAGCACCGGAUCGACGGGCUUGACAAAGAUAACUUUGUGUACAGCUACAGUUUGGUCGAAGGAGAUGCUCUUUCAGACAAGGUUGAGAAAAUCAGUUAUGAGAUUAAGUUGGUGGCAUCUGCUGAUGGAGGUUCCAUCAUAAAGAGCAGCAGCAACUACCACACCACAGGUGAUGUUGAGAUCAAGGAAGAGGAUGUUAAGGCUGGCAAAGAGAAGGCAACUGGUCUGUUCAAGCUUAUUGAGAACUACCUUGUGGCCAACCCAGAUGCCUACAACUAAAAUCUUAAAUGAAAUAUACUGCAUGUGCUUUCUCUGUCAUUUUAUUGGUGUGGCUUUCAUUUUGCAUUUUUUUCUUUUGUCUAUCAAGCCAGAGCUGCUUUGGCUUGCACCUAAGGCUAUGAUAAAUUGUAAUGUUUCUAUUUGAUUUGAUUCUAAAUAAAUAAAGCAAAAAUCAGUUGCUGGUCUUUACAAAUUUGGUCUGCAGUAUCUAUUUUCAAUUUCGUGAAUUUCAAUCUUUUUUUCACUAAUAAAAAUUUACUAAUUAAAAAUAAAGAUUCGAUAAAAUUAGAAUGAUAAGGAUGACGCGCAUAAAUCGAGAAAUGGCCCUUUGGUUUGGUCAAGGCUUUUGAGAAGUACCGUUCGGGGCAACCUACAAGUAAAACUAUCUAUCACAGUACUGCUCGCAAAGAGCAACAAAAGUUUUGUGACCUCUUUUUCCAUCUUCAUUCAUUGGUGCGGCUUUCAUUUUUGUUUAUUUUUUUUUAUAUCAAUCCAUCACCAACUGGACGACAAAAUCAAUAUUUCACCCCUUUUUUUCUUACUAUUUCCACAAUAACAAAAUCCAAUCUUUGUUUCUCUUUUUCUCAUCUGUUUUCAUGGAGUAGUAUGCCACGGAAAUGACAUUUUUCUCAGAUCAUCUGAUUCUGAAUUUUUUAUUCAUCCACAUUAGCCAAGAAAUCAAUGAACUAGAUAAUUGCUCAAUCGAAAACAAUCUACGAGUCUGAGUGGGUUUUCUUAUGUGUCAUUGGAUUAAUUCAAUGACCUUUAUUAAAUAGGACUUCACAAGACCUCAUCUUUAGGUCUUUAGGUGAGCGGGACUGUAUACAGAAGUUGGGUUACCUCCCUAAGUGACUUCCUUAUGGGCUUAAGCACAUCCCUUUCGACUCCUCCACGGGGCAUGCAUAUCAUGACUAGUCUUCGCAAGGCAUGUAUAAUGUGGGUCAUGUCUUUGUUCUCCACGUUAGUACGCUCUAAAUUUGUAUGUUAUUAGAAAUAUUUCCUAGAACAUUGCACACAAAUUAUUAGUGGAUCUCAUCUCAAAGUUGUCACUAUAGCUGAAAUUAUGAUCGCAUAUCUAAGUUGUCACUAUAUCCUCCCGAUUCUCAAUAUGACUCUUUAAGACAAUAAAAAAUCUCCACCAAAAUUCUAUACCAAAAUCAUCAUUAGUUGCACACACUUUCAUAUAAAAAAAUGAAGAAAAAUUAGUUUCAUAAUAAAAUUUCAUAAUAUAAGAAAACUUCACACCAAAACAACAAGUUCGCCAAAAAAUACUUAUUUAAAAAUUGCUUGAAGGUAAUAUCAAGGUCAUGAAUAUAAAGCACCCCCACAUUUAAAAUAUGUAAAGCAAAUCCAUUAUGUUUCCAAUGCUGACCACAAAAAUAAAAAAUAUUAAUAAUUAAUGAAAGGUUCUUUUCUAUAUGAAUGUGUUUUAAAUAUAGGUUGUCAAGUUCAACGAAAUAAAGAAGGCACACUAAUUCAAACUCACUGAAAUAUAUAAUUAUACAUUUACAAAAGUACGUAAUAGAGAAGCACCAUUAAUUUCCAUUAAUUCCUUCACCAGCAUAUUAGCCUAACUACAAAACAAUAAAAUCUUGUUAAAUCACAAGUAAAAACAUGAAGAAAUUCCUUGGAAUAUUAUUGCUUCUUUCUCCAUAACUUAAUUUUCCAAGAUAAUGACAGGCCAACAUAAGAGAAAGCUCCCGUUUUAUAUAGUUUUCAAAAACUCAAAUAUACAUUUACAACUAUUAGUAUGAAUCUCAUGUCACAAACUAGUGAGCUUAAGAUUGCAAAAUUCAAAGUAAAAGAAAUAAAGGAUUUUGUAGAAUUUAACUGGUCAUAUACCAUAUUGCCAUUUUAGAGCGAUGGAGGUAGAGAUCGCUUAUCUUGAUCUUCAUAGCCACCGUUAAACAAAUUAACUUGCUGUAGCAAUCAAGAAUAGUUUGGAAAUCAAAUCUGUAGUGCCCAACAAUGUAAAAUGAAAUCAAAACAAUUGAAGCAAUCAAUUUGAAGCUUUAGACAAAAAUUGAAGCUGCAACACUAAUUCUUUUGGAUUCAACCUUCAGCUUAAAAUCAAUAAUAAAACUAUAUUAAUUGUCUCAUUUAAAUACCAGUGGAAAGCUUCUUAUAAAACCAAUUACUCAAAACUGAAACUGUCACAAAAUGAUUUCCACGCACAAUCUGGGUAAUUAAAUACAACAUAAAUAUGUAAUGAAAAUUUGAAAAUAUAUAUAGGCAUAAGCACAAAAUAGAAUUGUCAAGUUUAAUUUCUCCAUGAAUGUGAAAAGAUAUAAUUCUCAAUAAAUUGAGGCUGGUUCCAAAAAUAUCAGCCAACUAGCUAAUGCUUUUAUAGUUGUUGGCUGUUUCAAAAUUAAUUUUAAAACAAUAACAAUAGCAAUAAAAUCUCAUAAACUUUUAUUUUGCAACAUAAAUAUCUAUAAGAUUAUCAAAAUAUUAAAGGCUUCUUAAGAUCUAAGUCUAAAACGAUUAGGUGUCAUAAGGUUUUAGUCUACGCAUUUUUUGUUUUACAUGUAGGUCAUUUGACAUUUGUUACUUUUUUUGUUGUGUCGAUUUUACCCCUUGAGAUAAAUAAGGCAAACACAUUGAAAAUAUAAAUAUAAUGCAUUAUUUCCUUAUAAUUGAAUUUCAAAUUUCAAAUUUUGAAUUCUUUCAUUGAUAAUACUCCUAAUGUAUGGAUAAAAUACAAUUUAAUUAAUAAAAAGUAGAGACCUACAUAUUAUACCAGUCGAUCAGACAAGUACUAACAUUAAAUUAUGUACUUAGACAUAUAAGUACAUAAUGUUAUUAUUAGUAAUGAAAAAAAACUUAGUGAUAAAUCAUGUUACGUAUAAGUUAGGAACAUAAAUUGGAAGACUAACUAUAAUUUAGGAACAUAAAUUGAAAGACUACCUAUAAGUCAGAUACAAAAAUAGACAAAAUAAAAUUGUAUGUUACCUAUAAAUAAAUAAAAAAGAUGCAUAAAAUACUAUUAUACAUUGUCGAAAAUAUAAAGAAAAAAAUCAUAUAUAUACCUAUGCAAUAGGCAAUAUGACAUAAAUGACUACUACCCGAUUUAAGUCGUAAGGGCCAAUAUUGGAAUAAAAAAUUGAUUUUAAAAAUAAAAUAAUAAAAAUAUUAUAUCAUAAAAUAUUUAUAAAAAAAAAUGUAAUUCUAUGUGACACAAAAAUCAAAGAACUUAUAUCAAAGUCACUAAAUUUGAGGAUUAAACUCAACUCCUCAAUAGAAAUUUGGAUCUAUAUCAACUUUUUUUAAAAGCCAGUUGAUAACAUUCUAUUAAAUUUUUAUGGUCUUUUUAAUAAAUUAUUUUAAUAAAAAAUUGACUUUCCAGUUUGUAACAUUCUAUAACAACCUUUUCCCAAUUUUUAUAUGUAAUGUAAUGUUCUGCAGACUCUCAUCAAUUUCGAAAAUCUUCUGGUUCCCUGGUUUUUACCUUGUGUAACAAGUGUCCCCUCCUUUUGCCCUUUCUUGACGCUUUGGCUCUUCAAAAAGGGGAGCAAAACGUUAACAAUAGUCGUACUGACUCAGAAGACCCACUCUGCUUCCUCCAAACCAACCCACUCUGCGUCCUCCGCACAGACCAAUCAUGGAUGAUCGUACUGACCCAGACGACCUCCACACCAUUCUCUCCGAACAACGCAGAGACCUUAUGGCCGCCAAAACUCUAGACUCCGACCUCGACAUGGCCUUCAAGCUCCAAAUGCAGGAGGCCAUGUCCGCCUCUCUCGCUCUCAAUCCCUCGUUGGCCUCGAGUUCGAGUUCGAGUUCGCGCAACUCUCCGCCUCCUUCGCCGCCCCACGACGCCAUUUUAGACCUCGCCGCCACGCUCAUGCUCGAGGACGUUGAGAGAUUCGCGCAGGAGUGGGAGGACCACGAGCGCACCGUUUCGGAGAUGAUGAAGACGAAGGAAGAUCUCAACCGUCGAAUUCACGAUCAGAAGUUCGCCGCCGACCUCUGCGACGUGCCAGACGACUACUGGGCCAAGCACGGCGACUAUUACGAGCGUCCGUACUCUGCGGACGAAUCGUCGUCGUCGUCGUCGACAAAAGCUGCGGCGGUGGAGACUGAGAAUUUGAGGUUGUAUUGCAAGGGUUUGGUGAGCGAGGAGAGGGUUAGGGAUAUGAAGGUGGUGGUUGCUGGGGCAGGUGUCGCGAUUUGUGACCCGAGAGACAAUCUGAUAUUCGAGGCGAGGAAGAAUCUAGAGGCGGUGGCUGAUGGUGUGGUGUUGAGCAAUGAGGCUGCGGAGCUUGAGGCCAUUAUUGAAGGGCUUAACAAAGCUCUCACCUUGGACUUGAAAUCUGUGACCUUUUACUGUGAUGACUACAUGCUUUACCAAUAUGUGAGUUUUAGCGUUAAACACUCGCUUUUAUUGGUCUUCUUUUGUUUAUUCUCAAAUUCACUUUUUAAUUGGGUGGGAGUUUGUGUUUAUGUUAAUGGUAGUAGAGUUGACUGUUGACUGGUGUGCAUUGUUUGUUGCAUUGCAAAUUUGAAAUCUUUGGCUGUAUGAACUAUUGGGUGUCUUCUGAAACAGAGGAAAAGAAAAAGAUUGUGCAUUUGACAAUUUUGGAAGUGGGAUAGAAAUUUUGGGGCUUACUAUAUGUGGGUUUGUUUGGGAGAACAUUAUAGGAGAUUGAGCAGGAAGAUUGUGGGCAACUAUGAGAAGUGUGAAAGCCAAUUACUAAACAUCAAUAUGAGUGAGUUGCUGUUUUGGUUUUUGGUUCAGUGUUUGGGUUGGGUUAAUUGGUCGAAGUGCAAUCUAACAAGUGUAUGUCAUGUCAUUUGUGACAGUGUUUUGGAGUGUGUUAAUUUAGCUUCGUGCAGAAGCUGCAAGGAAUAAUCCCAAACAACUUGGUAUUUGGGAGAAUUAACAGUUAUCUUGUUAGACCUAUCCUUCUUUUAGUCUGUUGUGUUAAACAUUUGCUGAGCUUGCUGCAUUUGUGUGACAAAGCCAAUUUUGGGCAAAUUUUGGGUUCAGCAAUGAUUCGGUCAUGCAGUUAUACUAUUUUGUUGUUGUUAGAAAUUUGUUAAUUAUUUUUUGGUGAUGUGUUCUGUCAAACUUUGUUGGUUGUAUUACAGGAUAAAUAUGUAUUUUUUUCUAUUCCGAAGGAGAAAACCCAAGUUCUGUUAUUUUUAAUUUAUUUUCCUCCUUAUUGAUAGUAUAAUUCAUGUCUUAACAAGUUUGCUGCUCUCAUCACUAUUCAUGUUUAUGAAAUAAAAUACGGGGGCAUAACAGAAAAUUCCAUUUCGUGCCACUUAUGUAGAUGAUUGACAUCUUUUAAAUACAGGUCACAAACAGAGUGCGUCCUGGAAACAGCAAGGUUGCAACAUUAGUCAAUCAAGUGGCUCUUCUACAAAGAAAAUUUGAAUAUUGCAGCCCUUCUCUUGUAACACGUACUGACAUUAAGUUUGCACUUAAAGUUGCUAGAGAGGCUAUAGUUUCUCAGAUCACCUGGCGUGCAGACUCUAGCAAUGGAAAGAGUUUGAAGGAGACUUGUGUAAUUUGCUUUGAAGAAACUGAUGUUGCAGAAAUGUUUUCAAUCGAUGGCUGUCUACACAGGUAUUGCUGUUCCUGUAUGAAACAG